GAUGAACGCUGGCGGCGUGCCUAAUACAUGCCAGUCGAGCGAACGGACGAGAAGCUUGCUUCUCUGAUGUUAGCGGCGGACGGGUGAGUAACACGUGGAUAACCUACCUAUCAGACUGGUAUAACUUCGGGAAACCGGAGCUAAUACCGGAUGAUAUUUUGAACCGCAUGGUUCAAAAGUGAAAGACGGUCUUGCUGUCACUUAUAGAUGUAUCCGCGCUGCAUUAGCUAGUUGGUAAGGUAACGGCUUACCAAGGCAACGAUGCAUAGCCGACCUGAGAGGGUGAUCGGCCACACUGGAACUGAGACACGGUCCAGACUCCUACGGGAGGCAGCAGUAGGGAAUCUUCCGCAAUGGGCGAAAGCCUGACGGAGCAACGCCGCGUGAGUGAUGAAGGUCUUCGGAUCGUAAAACUCUGUUAUUAGGGAAGAACAUAUGUGUAAGUAACUGUGCACAUCUUGACGGUACCUAAUCAGAAAGCCACGGCUAACUACGUG
This 497-nucleotide ribosomal RNA is filed under the name uncultured bacterium. Its description in RNAcentral is "partial 16S ribosomal RNA". It matches the Rfam family "Bacterial small subunit ribosomal RNA", at positions 28 to 507 of the family's 1533-position model. The record is from RNAcentral.